This 83-nucleotide transfer RNA is filed under the name Methanobacteriota archaeon. Its description in RNAcentral is "Euryarchaeota archaeon tRNA-Ser". It matches the Rfam family "tRNA". Rfam says of the family: Transfer RNA (tRNA) molecules are approximately 80 nucleotides in length. The record is from RNAcentral. Lineage: Archaea; Methanobacteriati; Methanobacteriota.
GCUGGGGUCGCCUAGUGGCUAUGGCGACGGCCUGCUAAGCCGUUUCCCGAAAGGGUGCGUGGGUUCGAAUCCCACCCCCAGCG